CAAUAACCCAAAUAGCAAAGUAGAAAAAACGUAUCUCAUAGACAUCAUCUCGAAUCCAAUCUGUUCCCUAAUCUUCACCUCGUCCCUUUAAAGAAAUAUCGUUCAAGAGUUUGCUUCAUUUUCUUGAAUUUAAUAGUCGGUGCAACGUGUCAUUCAGGAUAAACUGAGAAAAAAAUUGUUGAAAGACUUCCCAUAUUCGUGACAUAUAUUAUGCUUCCAAUCCCAGAAAGCCACACUGUGAAAAUUGCGAAAUUAUUUCGAAAGCUCGAAAAUCUAGGGAUUUAAAAGAUAUAAAUAAGAUAUAACGACAAAUUCAGAUUUUUACCCGUUUCGUUCAGUGGUGUCGCUCAUGGAGAUAGACAAUGGUAGUCCAUCCGGCACAGCAAGUUUUAACCAUCCGAUGUGCACACCAGCAGCAUGUUACUGUGAAGUUAUUCGAAGACGA
RNAcentral lists this small RNA (445 nucleotides) under Histoplasma capsulatum var. duboisii H88. RNAcentral describes it as "Histoplasma capsulatum H88 hypothetical RNA". The record is from RNAcentral. Lineage: Eukaryota; Fungi; Ascomycota; Eurotiomycetes; Onygenales; Ajellomycetaceae.